AUGAGGGCCCUUUUCUGGAACCUCCACGGCUUCGGCCAUGACGGCCGUCGCCGCCAGCUCAUCGAGUACAUCCGGGACGAACAUAUUGACAUUAUUGCCAUCCAAGAAACCCUUAGAGUCGAGUUCUCCCUACAGGAGCUGGAACAUCUGAGCCCCCACCUCUUCGCGUGGCACUGGCUCCCUUCUAGCGGGACCUCAGGCCACUCGGGUGGCAUCCUUCUUGGGGUUAAGGAUGCCACUUUCGAGGUGGGCGGCAUGGAUAGAGGGGAGUUUUUCGUUAGCAUGGAGAUCUUCGAGCGGGCUUUGAACUUCAAAUGGGAGGUCAUUGCGGUCUACGGUCCGGCUGACCACCGCCGCUCCCCGGCCUUCCUUGCCGAGUUGCAGCUGAAGAUCUCCAACUCCCCACAUCCUGUUUUGGUGGGGGGCGACUUCAACCUCAUC
Molecule: ribosomal RNA, 441 nt
Filed under: Triticum aestivum (bread wheat)
Lineage: Eukaryota; Viridiplantae; Streptophyta; Magnoliopsida; Poales; Poaceae
Description: partial small subunit ribosomal RNA
Source: RNAcentral